Long non-coding RNA from Ictalurus punctatus (channel catfish), 320 nucleotides. Lineage: Eukaryota; Metazoa; Chordata; Actinopteri; Siluriformes; Ictaluridae. The record is from Ensembl.
UGAAGCAAAUGCACUGAAGAGGUGCAGAAAGAUGAGAAUAUAAACAUGGACAAACACGUUUAUAGGCUCCAGAAAAAAAUAGUGUAGCGUUUCCUUAAAUCACUUUUGCCGCGUUGCGUGUUCAGAGCAAAUUCGAAUGGAAAAUUGUUCUCGUUUGCUAGCUCACGUAUCAAAGAGAAGAGUUCUCUCACCUUCGAUAGCUCAGUUGGCAGAGCGGCGGACUGUAGGUGCUCAUAGCGGUCAUCCUUAGGUCGCUGGUUCGACUCCGGCUCGAAGGAGGGCUGUCUCCGUGCGAGUUGGCUUCUUUUUUUUUCGAAAAU